Carya illinoinensis is the source of this 701-nucleotide long non-coding RNA. RefSeq lists it as uncharacterized. The transcript has 2 exons. Lineage: Eukaryota; Viridiplantae; Streptophyta; Magnoliopsida; Fagales; Juglandaceae. The record is from RefSeq and is a predicted model, not a curated record.
UUCUGAUCCAGCCCUAAGGAACUAGGGCUGGGGUGGCAUACCAUUUUGGUUUGUUUGAAACAUAUGACAGAAGAUUCACCCCUAACUAGUUUUCCAUUUCCCCAACUACUGCAACUGUAAAGUAUAAUUUUUUGAAUGUGUUUAUGUAACUUUACUUCCCAUUGCACAAUAGAUGCAAUACAGGUUAUUGGGUUAGCUUCCAUUGAGGGAGAGUGCUUGUGGGUGAUGUGCUUGAUAUGCAUUAUUUGCCUGCUGUUUUUUAGUCAAUCAAGUUUUUCUAAUCUUAAUGGUUUCCUGCAAUUUUACUCCAAGAUCUAGUUCAGGAAGCUCUUGCCUUCUCUUCUUCUUUAUAAGUAAUCAAUUUUAUUUAUGGAUGGGUAAGUUGGGCACCCAAUGGGUCUUGAACCCAUGGCCUCACCUUCAACCUUGUUCUUACAACAGGAGGAGUUGUUCAAUAUGAGGCUCGCUGAAUUGGGGGAGGCAAGGACAUGCCAUUGCAUAUAUAUGUAGUUACUGUCUUCCCGCAACAUGCUAAUCUGGUGGAUGGUUUACUUUUCAAGAAACGGAUUGAUUUAAGCUUUAGCACUAUGCGAUCAAUAAAAAACAACUGUGCUGUCUAUGCAAGUGAUCGCAUUAAAGAAGAACACCAAAUAUAUUUUGGUCAUAUUUGGAUUUGUUGUUUGAAGCAUCUUUUUGUGUAA